RNAcentral lists this long non-coding RNA (1822 nucleotides) under Helianthus annuus (common sunflower). RNAcentral describes it as "hypothetical non coding rna". The record is from RNAcentral. Lineage: Eukaryota; Viridiplantae; Streptophyta; Magnoliopsida; Asterales; Asteraceae.
AUGUCGACCAGCCUUCUUGCAUCGUUCAAGAGGGAGCGGUUUUGGUAGAAGCAAGUAUUCUGGAAAACGAAACAAAUGAUGAAACAUCCUUUUUAAAUUCUAAAGAAGCAAGUAACAUACCCCUUCUUCACGUUUAUUCCUGAGCUCGCGAAUUUUGUCAUAGACCUUAUCCCUUUUCUCAAUCACUACACGCAAUUCCUCCUCUAAAGAAGCAAUCACACCGUUUAUGGCCUCUUUUUCAGUCUCCAGUGUCUUAAGUUUGGCCUUGAUAGCUUGUUGAUCCUUGCGGACCCCGUCAAGAUCAACGCCAAUAGACUACAAACAACAUGGAAUCAAGAUAAGCAUUAAUAAAUAAACUUUUACAAUGGUAUAUAGAAGAAGAGGCGUUCUUACUUUGACCUGGUCUUGGAUGGCAUCUUUUUCACCAACAGAUUUUUGAACUUCAGCCCUCAUAGCAGCGUUUGCAAUAACCUUAUCCCUCGUCCCUUCAAGUUGUUUUAUUUCUCUGAUUAUUUGUUUCUCCUCGUUUAGAGUAAUACUUUCAUGUUGAAUACGGUAUUGCAUGCUCUUAAUCUGCAUCAACAUUCAAGAGUAAAAAUUAAUUAAUUAUCAAAAAUAAACAAAAAGAUAAGGCACUGAGCGUUGUGUUUCUACAUAAAUGAUUUGUUCUUACAACAUCGUUGAGCUCUUCCUCAGAUGAGCAUAUGUAACCUGCUCGGUUGUCUCUAUUCGCAUUGUUUGGGCCCCGCAACUUGCCUAAAGCCUGCUGCAGUGGCUCGAUUUCUUUUCUCUUGCCAUCCAUGAUCGUCCUGAAAUGGUUUUUUUCUUCAACGAGCGCCUUAAGUUGACCAAUUACUUGUGCUCGUUCAUUCUAGAAAAAAAAAAAAACAAAAUUUCAAUCAAAAUUAGUAUUAACAAGUCGAGACAAGAGUGUAUGUAAGCUCAAGAGUAUUGAUAUAACAAAUUACCCUUUUUGCCCUCAGCUUUUCAGUUAUGGGGUCACGGGCCAAAUUAAGCUUUUUAAGAUCCUUAUCAGCCUGAUCAAGUUUAGCUUUCAGGGCCUGGUCUUCAACUGUUCGGUAUUUAACAAAAUAAAGUGAGUGGAACUUUUUUUCUUCGGGCCACUCGUCAACUGCAUCCUUUGGAAAGCUGGGUUCGGGUGCUUUCUCUACACGAACGGAUUCACUCACGUGAGGACCGGAUUCAUUUUCACCAACAUGCCCGUUUUCAACAGACACAACACCAUCAAUAGCCAUGUUGUUUUCAAGAUAAAAAGAACUUCACUACUCUUCAAAUAUUGAAAACCCUGAAGCGGAAAACACACUAAUUAGCCAACAAAAUUUAACCUUUCACCUAUUUUAUCGGAUUGCAAGAAUCAAGCUUUACAGGCUCCAUAAACACCAAUUUGCAAAUACUAACGAAAAUAAUACAAACAAAAACUUCUAGAAAUAAUUUAUCUCGAAUCAAGUAAGGAAUCGGGUCACUUUCACGCAGCCUUCAGCAUAACUUGAUUUCAAUAAAGUGACAUUAUUCAAAUAUGAGUGAUUAAAACCCUAAUUUUUAAUUAAUUAGGGUCAAAAAAAUUAAAAUCACAUAUUUAUACACCUCUUUAAAAUAUUACACACAUCUAGUUCCUCUUUAAGUUCAAUCAGAAAACACUAAUCACCAUAACUUUUCAUAAUCUUCAUCAUACAAAUAACAAAUAAUAAAAAAAAAUAAACACCAAUUUACAAAUAAUAAAAAAUAAAUAAAUACAAACACCUCUUUUAGUUCAAUUAAAGAAUAAUCUUCAUCACACAAAUAAACAGAUAGUAAUCAAAUU